RNAcentral lists this ribosomal RNA (765 nucleotides) under uncultured Streptococcus sp. RNAcentral describes it as "bacterial SSU rRNA". It matches the Rfam family "Bacterial small subunit ribosomal RNA", at positions 28 to 776 of the family's 1533-position model. The record is from RNAcentral. Lineage: Bacteria; Bacillati; Bacillota; Bacilli; Lactobacillales; Streptococcaceae.
GACGAACGCUGGCGGCGUGCCUAAUACAUGCAAGUAGAACGCUGAAGAGAGGAGCUUGCUCUUCUUGGAUGAGUUGCGAACGGGUGAGUAACGCGUAGGUAACCUGCCUUGUAGCGGGGGAUAACUAUUGGAAACGAUAGCUAAUACCGCAUAACAAUGGAUGACACAUGUCAUUUAUUUGAAAGGGGCAAUUGCUCCACUACAAGAUGGACCUGCGUUGUAUUAGCUAGUAGGUGAGGUAACGGCUCACCUAGGCGACGAUACAUAGCCGACCUGAGAGGGUGAUCGGCCACACUGGGACUGAGACACGGCCCAGACUCCUACGGGAGGCAGCAGUAGGGAAUCUUCGGCAAUGGGGGCAACCCUGACCGAGCAACGCCGCGUGAGUGAAGAAGGUUUUCGGAUCGUAAAGCUCUGUUGUAAGAGAAGAACGAGUGUGAGAGUGGAAAGUUCACACUGUGACGGUAACUUACCAGAAAGGGACGGCUAACUACGUGCCAGCAGCCGCGGUAAUACGUAGGUCCCGAGCGUUAUCCGGAUUUAUUGGGCGUAAAGCGAGCGCAGGCGGUUAGAUAAGUCUGAAGUUAAAGGCUGUGGCUUAACCAUAGUACGCUUUGGAAACUGUUUAACUUGAGUGCAGAAGGGGAGAGUGGAAUUCCAUGUGUAGCGGUGAAAUGCGUAGAUAUAUGGAGGAACACCGGUGGCGAAAGCGGCUCUCUGGCCUGUAACUGACGCUGAGGCUCGAAAGCGUGGGGAGCAAACAGG